RNAcentral lists this ribosomal RNA (530 nucleotides) under uncultured bacterium. RNAcentral's name for it is "bacterial SSU rRNA". It matches the Rfam family "Bacterial small subunit ribosomal RNA", at positions 338 to 896 of the family's 1533-position model. The record is from RNAcentral.
CCUACGGGUGGCUGCAGCCGGGAUCGUGCGCAAUGGACGAAAGUCUGACGCCGCGACGUCGCGUGAAGGAUGAAGGCGUUUUCGGCGUAAACUUCUUUUGCCAUAUGGGUGACCAUAUGGAGAAUAAGCACCCGCUAACUCUGUGCCAGCAGCCGCGGUAAUACAGAGGGUGCAAGCGUUAUCCGGAUUUAUUGGGCGUAAAGCGUUUCGUAGGUGGUUUGGUAAGUUAAACUUCAAAGACCCGGGCUUAACCCGGGGAAGGGUUUAAUACUGCUAGACUUGAGAAUUUAGGGGCAAUCGGAACUGUUGGUGUAGGGGUGAAAUCCGUUGAUAUCAACAGGAACGUCAAGGGCGUAGGCAGAUUGCUGGGAAAUUUCUGACACUGAGGAACGAAAGCUAGGGGGAGCGAAAGGGAUUAGAGACCCCUGUAGUCCUAGCCGUAAACUUUGCCUGCUAGCGAUGGGUCGCAAGAUCCGUUGCGUAAGCUAACGCGUUAAGCGGGCCGCCUGGGGAGUACGAACGCAAGUUUA